Molecule: non-coding RNA, 493 nt
Organism: Paramuricea clavata
Lineage: Eukaryota; Metazoa; Cnidaria; Anthozoa; Malacalcyonacea; Plexauridae
Source: the annotation of a GenBank genome assembly
UAAUUUAUAUAAUUAAAGAACUUAAAGUGGCAGUCAACUGCGUUCUGCUCAUGCGCGUGUUUUGUUCGCAUAUUUUGUUUCCAAAAAUAGAUAAUUCAAUUAAAAUUUGGAUCCAUUUUCCCACUCAUUAGGUCAUUUCUCAUUCAGAAUACAUCACGAAUUAAGGUAAAAUUUAGCUCCAAAACUACAACUUUCAAUGGAAAACUUUUAAAUAUAAAUCUUGAAGGAUUGGUACAUAUUUUGUCUAUAGUUCAAGUAGUUUCGGGCGGAAUGAGCGGAGAAAAUGACAAGAUGUUUUAAGACCAAAAAUCACAUGCUUUACUUUAGUCUGGUUGAGUACUUUAAGACGAUCAUGCUUGUAAAAUAGAAAAUAUAAAGUCUAUUCUGUACUUGACCAAAAUAUACAUAAGUUCAUUAAAAUAUAGCUGCAACUAAUUGUUAAAUGAAGACAAAUUAGGUGUAUGUGUGCAGACCUUAACUAAGACUAUACGCC